Molecule: long non-coding RNA, 578 nt
Organism: Homo sapiens (human)
Lineage: Eukaryota; Metazoa; Chordata; Mammalia; Primates; Hominidae
Source: Ensembl
GAGGAUAAACUCAGUUUCCUGUCUCACAUAAGGGGCCAAAGCCUGGGGUGAAGCUGUACGUCGGCAGCCCCAGCCCCAGAAAAGGAACCUACUCUCCAUGCACGUCUCUCUGGAGCAACCUGAAGACAGGAUCUUGGCCUCAGGACAGUUUUGCAGGCUGGGAAGUCCAAGAUAAAGCCACCAGCAUCUGACAAUGGCCUUCUUGCAACAUCCUCCAACAGAGAGGAACAACAUGUCCUCACAUGGCAGAAGAGCACAGAGGAAAAAGAAGACCAAACUCACUCUUUUAUAAGAGCAUUAAUCCCACAUAGGAAGGCAGAGCCCUCAUGGCCCUUUUGCUUCCCAAAAUUCUCAUAUUCUAAUACCACCACGGUGGGAACCAAAUUUCAACAUGAGUUUUGGAGCAGACAAACAUUCAAACCAUAGCACCGCUCAAACCUUUGAUGAGACCACAUCCUCAGCAAACACCUAGAUUAAAAUCUGGUGAGCUCUUAAAGCAGAGAACAUAACUACACUAUGCCUGGACUUCUGACUUAUAGAAACUGUGAGAUAAUAAAUGUGUGUCUUUAAACCCUCAA